Small nuclear RNA from Bos indicus x Bos taurus (hybrid cattle), 103 nucleotides. The record is from Ensembl. Lineage: Eukaryota; Metazoa; Chordata; Mammalia; Artiodactyla; Bovidae.
GUAUUCUUAUAUAGCACAUAUAUUAAAAUUAGAGCUAUAAAAAAGAUUAGCAUGGUCUCUGUAUGAGGAUAACACACAAAUUCAUGAAGUGUUCCAUAUUUUU